Molecule: unclassified non-coding RNA, 1021 nt
Filed under: Leishmania donovani
Lineage: Eukaryota; Euglenozoa; Kinetoplastea; Trypanosomatida; Trypanosomatidae
Description: gene:unknown
Source: RNAcentral
GCGUCGCCGCGCGGGAGAGGCAAGACUUGAAUGCAUGCUGCAUGUUAAAUAUUAUGGCAAACAACGGGGCCGACUCCGCACAGGCUCACACAAUGGAGCGCAGCACUAUCACCGCUGGCGUGCAUCUGCCUACAUGUUUGUCUAUGGUCGGAUGCGGCUGUGCAUUUCACUUUCUAUUCUGACUAGAAAAAUAAUGCCCUUGAUGCUGCCGGCCACCCCACCGCGGGUGCCUGGGUGCGGCACCCAACGCUGUGCGGAAGCCAAGCGCCCACACCCAGCGCUUCGUGUGGUGGGCCUCGGACUCUUGGUGUCGGCGGACAGGUCUGGGCUGGCGGUGUGCCGAAGAGACGUGCGGCCUUGAUGGUCGCGUUGGGGCCCGCUCGCUACGAAUCGUGCCGACGGCUCAACACGUGUGCGCAACGGCGUGCAGCGGGCGCGAGUCUCUGUGCGGCGCCGGUGGCGCCGCACGUAUCCGAGGAAGGACGAGAAUGCAGGGCGCAUGACCCGACUCGACGGCAGACGGCUCGUGCUGGACGACGAGGAUUUAGCGGUGGCGCAGCAGAGGCAGGUGGGCUGCGGCUGCGUGCGCGUAUUCGCUGAGCUGCUCGCGGUACUAUGGCAUGUAAUCAAGAAAAGGGGUCUGCCGUUUUGUGUACUGACGUAAUGCUUGGAUUUUGGUGGAUUAUGGCUGCAGCGGUGAGCGCUGGUGGUCGUGCUGGACGUACUGCAUAUACGCAGAGGUUCUGGAUUGCUGUAGUACAUCGACCGGCUCUGUGUUGUACAUGUAGGGAAUGAGCUAGACGAUGCCUGCCGCGGUGAAAGUGUGCACCGCUUCUGGGGGUUCUGUGCACUGCCAGAGCAUCUAUUCGUGUACGCAUGUCUGCACCCUCGUCCCUCUUUGGUGGUUUUUGUUCAUGUACGCCGUUACCCACUUUUUUUGUUCGGUUUCCGGAGGCUGCAGGGAGACCUUGAUUCUGUGUUUGUCGGGCGGUGAGCGACGAGUGCUGCCGCGACCCAAGAG